Molecule: ribosomal RNA, 253 nt
Filed under: uncultured bacterium
Lineage: Bacteria
Description: partial 16S ribosomal RNA
Rfam family: Bacterial small subunit ribosomal RNA
Source: RNAcentral
UACAGAGGGGGCCAGCGUUGUUCGGAUUUACUGGGCGUACAGGGAGCGUAGGCGGUUGGAUAAGCCCUCCGUGAAAUCUCCAGGCUUAACCUGGAAAGUGCAGAGGGGACUGUUCAGCUAGAGGAUGGGAGAGGAGCGCGGAAUUCCCGGUGUAGCGGUGAAAUGCGUAGAGAUCGGGAGGAAGGCCGGUGGCGAAGGCGGCGCUCUGGAACAUUUCUGACGCUGAGGCUCGAAAGCGUGGGGAGCAAACAGG